Molecule: long non-coding RNA, 226 nt
Filed under: Elaeis guineensis (African oil palm)
Lineage: Eukaryota; Viridiplantae; Streptophyta; Magnoliopsida; Arecales; Arecaceae
Description: long non-coding RNA (EGUI_LNC046773)
Source: RNAcentral
AGUCGAUAUCUUGCAGAUCCCAUUCACAUUUUAGAUUUUUUUAUCGAGGCUGGGAGGCUUCAUGGCUUGCUCAGUUUGGCGCUUGACAGUUUAUCUCAAGAUAUCAGGUUUCAGGUCGUGGUAUAGCUUUUGGGUUUACCUCUCUUCAAUAGUCCAUGGUGAGAGCUCUGAGUCAGCUUGAUUCUAUUAGACUCAUUCUUUUGACUCAACCCUCAUCUUCUCUACU